Ktedonobacter racemifer DSM 44963 is the source of this 259-nucleotide non-coding RNA. It matches the Rfam family "HNH endonuclease-associated RNA and ORF (HEARO) RNA". NCBI's taxonomy places the organism in Bacteria, Bacillati, Chloroflexota, Ktedonobacteria, Ktedonobacterales, Ktedonobacteraceae. The record is from Rfam.
GUCAUGGACCCCGGCAUGCAUGCUGGGGCUUGCAGGCAUCCUCACCGGUGUCUGUAGGCCCGAACAUGACCAGACCCAGCCACCGACGCUGAUGCGUGCAUCAACGUUGAUGGGGCUCCGUUCUCAGGGAGUGUCAAAGAUCGUACCUGCGCGUGCGAGGCCAGCGUGCAGCUCUCCAACCGGCGGGUUAAACAGGGCGUGGGUAUACCCAGUGCUCGUCGGAUGUGCCGCCUGAGAACAUCGUCGAGGCCACCAUUAC